GGCACCGAAAGCCGUAGACCGAAAUCAAGGCAACCGCUCCGCACACCUUUCCUUCAUGAGAGUUACAGAGACUACCAAAAUCCUCCACACCUGAAAAAGUACCAGGAGAUCACUGUGAACUGUGCGUGUCACUUUGACAAGCCCUUUUGAACCCAGGGGUCCCCAGACCACCUCUGCCAAGGCAGGACAGCCACCGCCUGUAGGUGAGGCCCGGCUGCCGCCCCCUGUGCUCAUGAGGAUUAACGAACAGCAAGAAAGCAAAUUGCUACAGUUAAAGGAAGAAAACAGCAGGACUAACACGUUUCAGUCGGGGUACUACGCUGAGACUCAGCAAUCUUUAUUCUCUUUGUGAGCAGCAGUUCUUUAAGAGCUUUACACCCAAUAAAAUUUAAACUUUUAUAUAUUUUUUUUUCCUUCGUUUAUUGCACCGAGGGUUUUUAUUGCAGACACAUAGCAAGCCACCCAUAUGGAAUUUCACAAAGUGGCAACCACAUUCCAACCUGCCCAAACAGAGCACCCGGUCAGUGG
Molecule: long non-coding RNA, 528 nt
Organism: Gallus gallus (chicken)
Lineage: Eukaryota; Metazoa; Chordata; Aves; Galliformes; Phasianidae
Exons: 3
Source: RefSeq, a predicted model, not a curated record